RNAcentral lists this long non-coding RNA (752 nucleotides) under Rattus norvegicus (Norway rat). Its description in RNAcentral is "long non-coding RNA NONRATT010327". The record is from RNAcentral. Lineage: Eukaryota; Metazoa; Chordata; Mammalia; Rodentia; Muridae.
ACAGCUCAAUAUUUAGGAAGCUUACUAUUGCUUUUGGUAUUUACAUCCUAAGCACUCAUUUCUGUCUUCAGAACUCACGUAUUUAAUGUGGCGUGGCCAUAGCUCCAUGAUAUGAGGUCAUGGGCCUACAGUAACCAGACAGUGAGGGGUGCCCUGGUCCCUCUUCAGGGACUGACUUUGACAGACUGCCAGUUUUUCUUGUGCUGAGCUAUCUGCCUCUUUUAAAUAUUGUACUAAUUAUUUUACUUAUUUUUUUCUGUGUGUGAUGGUGUCUCUCCAUGUAGGCUGACCUCAAAUUUGAGCUCCUUCAGCCUGAAUUUCGGGAUUACAGGUUUGAGCCACCAUGAACAGCUAGUAAUAGAUGGGUCUCUUUCUUUCUUCCUUUCUUUCUUUCUUUCUUUCUUUCUUUCUUUCUUUCUUUCUUUCCUUCUUUCUUUCUUUUUCCCCUUCCUUUCUCUUUGUCUUUGUUGUUGUUGCUAUUUGCUUGACUUGGUUUGGAUUUUUUUUUUUUUUUUUUUUAAAUCAGGGUCUCACUAUGUAAUCCUGGCUAUCCUGGCUGUCCUGGCUAUCCUGGCUGUCCUGGCUAUCCUGGCUGUCCUGGCUAUCCUGGCUAUCCUGGCUAUCCUGUAGCUUGCCGAGUAGACCAAGCUGUCAUCAAACCCAGAAAUACUACUGCCUUUGCCUCCCAAGUAUUAAAGGCAUCCGUCACCAUGCAUGGCUAAUAAUUCCUUUCUUCCUUCUUUUCUUUCUUU